RNAcentral lists this long non-coding RNA (951 nucleotides) under Salmo salar (Atlantic salmon). Its description in RNAcentral is "lncRNA (ENSSSAG00000116369.1)". Lineage: Eukaryota; Metazoa; Chordata; Actinopteri; Salmoniformes; Salmonidae. The record is from RNAcentral.
GUAAGCUGCAGAAUGAGUAUAAGACAGCAAGGGGCAGGGGCAGAGAGACACUCAUCUACUACUGAGGUCCAGAAGACAUUACCAAGACAACCAGGUAUCAUUCAGUCAGCAUAUUCCAACUAUCAGAGUAAAGGAUGAAGAUCCAGAGUGUGUUGCUGCUGUUUUCUCUAGUGGGUGUCCUGUUAGCAAGCUCCCUCAAUGAAGAUAACUCUAAGGAAGCUCUUCCGGAGGAGGACAAUCUAAAAGGGGAAUAGGCGGCCUUGGAAAAGUUGUUUGGUGAUCUGAAAGCUGAUGGGGUUUCUCAGAAGUCUUUUGAGGAUGCAGAAGAUGAAGCAGCAUCUGAUUGAGGCGCCAUUUUGAGCACAGUCUCAGUGCUUUUGGGGUGAGGAGUGACCAGAAUGGGGCAACAGAGGUUCCUCUCCAGUCUCCAUACGGAACCCACUAUCACCUCUGACGUCAUUACUUCAUUUAAAUCAAUCCAUUAUCCAUCCAUCAACGAUUGACUAACAAAUACAAACAGUAACACAAUUGUUCAAUACUUCGGUAAUUAGAAGAACUCAUCAACAUUCUGAGGAAUAUAUGUUUUAUUCACAAAUACGCACUUGAUGUCCUGAUUCAUGAUUAGAUUAUUGGUGAAGUUAGUGGAUAAAUAAUGAGGUUUGGAAUUUAUGGUAGAAAUGUUGUAUGGCUGACGUGUCUCCUACAAUAAACUACAAAGCAUUACACAUGUUUAGCAGUGUUUCGAAUCCAUCACACGUUUCAUAAUAUUAUUUUAGUCAAUAUUUGUUACAAUGUAAACAUGACCAUAAUACAGAUGUGGGUGUUAUGAAAGUACAUUUUUGUGGCCACUGUGCAUGCAGAGCACUGAGUGGCAGCAGGCACAAUUGUCUUCAAACAUUGAAAAACAUCCAAGGGUGUUUUAAGGAUAUUUUCCCUUUUUUGACUUAAAGA